Molecule: ribosomal RNA, 257 nt
Filed under: uncultured bacterium
Lineage: Bacteria
Description: partial 16S ribosomal RNA
Rfam family: Bacterial small subunit ribosomal RNA
Source: RNAcentral
GACGUAGGGCGCGAGCGUUUGUCCGGAUUUAUUGGGCGUAAAGAGCUCGUAGGCGGUUUGUCACGUCGCUGUGAAACCCUGGGGCUCAACCCCGGGCCUGCAGCCGAUACGGGCUGACUAGAAUUCGGUAGGGGAGUCUGGAAUUCCUGGUGUAGCGGUGAAAUGCGCAGAUAUCAGGAGGAACACCGAUGGCGAAAGCAGGCUUCUGGGCUAUCACUGACGCUGAUCUGCGAAAAGCUAGGGGGAGCAAAACAGGG